This 212-nucleotide long non-coding RNA is filed under the name Manihot esculenta (cassava). RNAcentral describes it as "long non-coding RNA (MESC_LNC009413)". The record is from RNAcentral. Lineage: Eukaryota; Viridiplantae; Streptophyta; Magnoliopsida; Malpighiales; Euphorbiaceae.
UUGUUUCUUAGCUUUCUGAUCUGGGUGUCUAUGAUCCGCACUGGCUGCUCAACAUAGGUGAGAUCCUCUUGGAUCUCCACAUCAGGCUCACUAAGAACCUUGCCCAGAUCUGACACAAAUUUCCUCAACAUUGAAACAUGGAAAACCGGAUGGAUUCUUGCCAUUGAAGCAGGCAAAUCUAGCUUGUACGACACAUUCCCAAUCUUCUGCAA